Molecule: ribosomal RNA, 941 nt
Filed under: uncultured bacterium
Lineage: Bacteria
Description: bacterial SSU rRNA
Rfam family: Bacterial small subunit ribosomal RNA
Source: RNAcentral
CGGAGGACGUAUCGGAUUACUGGGCGUAAGCGUGCGCAGGCGGUUUUGUAAGUCUGUCGUGAAAGCCCCGGGCUUAACCUGGGAAUUGCGAUGGAGACUGCAAGGCUUGAAUCUGGCAGAGGGGGGUAGAAUUCCACGUGUAGCAGUGAAAUGCGUAGAGAUGUGGAGGAACACCGAUGGCGAAGGCAGCCCCCUGGGUCAAGAUUGACGCUCAUGCACGAAAGCGUGGGGAGCAAACAGGAUUAGAUACCCUGGUAGUCCACGCCCUAAACGAUGUCUACUAGUUGUCGGGUCUUAAUUGACUUGGUAACGCAGCUAACGCGUGAAGUAGACCGCCUGGGGAGUACGGUCGCAAGAUUAAAACUCAAAGGAAUUGACGGGGACCCGCACAAGCGGUGGAUGAUGUGGAUUAAUUCGAUGCAACGCGAAAAACCUUACCUACCCUUGACAUGUCAGGAACCUCCGAGAGAUUGGAGGGUGCCCGAAAGGGAGCCUGAACACAGGUGCUGCAUGGCUGUCGUCAGCCCGUGUCGUGAGAUGUUGGGUUAAGUCCCGCAACGAGCGCAACCCUUGUCAUUAGUUGCUACGCAAGAGCACUCUAAUGAGACUGCCGGUGACAAACCGGAGGAAGGUGGGGAUGACGUCAAGUCCUCAUGGCCCUUAUGGGUAGGGCUUCACACGUCAUACAAUGGUACAUACAGAGGGCCGCCAACCCGCGAGGGGGAGCUAAUCCCAGAAAGUGUAUCGUAGUCCGGAUCGCAGUCUGCAACUCGACUGCGUGAAGUUGGAAUCGCUAGUAAUCGCGGAUCAGCAUGCCGCGGUGAAUACGUUCCCGGGUCUUGUACACACCGCCCGUCACACCAUGGGAGCGGGUUUUACCAGAAGUAGGUAGCUUAACCGCAAGGAGGGCGCUUACCACGGUAGGAUUCGUGACUGGGGUG